GAGAAGAGAAAGUCCGAGGUCAAGGCCACAGGCACAGAGAAGAAACGGGUACCCCACACGGGAAGGGCAAGAGUAAGUAGGAAGGCCUUGCUGCUUACACCCUCAACGAGCCCAUUUCAGGACAGCCUCAUCUACACGACUCUCCUGGUCUAUCAUUCCGGAGUGUGCCCUCCCACGGCACGGCUCUGAGGGGGCUUUCAAUGACAGGGACCCUUGGUUUCUCUUGCAUUGAGAGCAUUUCAGCUCCAGAGACCGCACUCUGCAGGAUGACCAUCACAAUGAGUGUGAAUCACGAGCACACUCACUCAGUACAAAGCUGGUGCCUCUGCCGUGUCUGAAGAGCAGUCUGGACUUAUGAGAUGUUUUCACUUCAUUUUCAAUUAGAGGUAGAGACAGAGGCACCCAGAACUGGAAGGCUCGAACACCACAUGGUGAAUAGAUUUGAAUACCACGUCUUCCUCUGGUUUUCUAUAGGGCAUGUGCUCACUGGAAAGGGAGAUAUACAGAAAAACACUCCUCCCUCCAGAGGGGAUGGCCAUACUGCAAUUUCUUCUUCA
This is a long non-coding RNA of Tupaia belangeri chinensis (Chinese tree shrew), 557 nucleotides long. RefSeq lists it as uncharacterized. The record is from RefSeq and is a predicted model, not a curated record. The transcript is spliced from 2 exons. NCBI's taxonomy places the organism in Eukaryota, Metazoa, Chordata, Mammalia, Scandentia, Tupaiidae.